RNAcentral lists this ribosomal RNA (568 nucleotides) under uncultured bacterium. RNAcentral describes it as "partial 16S ribosomal RNA". It matches the Rfam family "Bacterial small subunit ribosomal RNA", at positions 355 to 912 of the family's 1533-position model. The record is from RNAcentral.
UGGGGAAUAUUGCACAAUGGGCGCAAGCCUGAUGCAGCCAUGCCGCGUGUGUGAAGAAGGCCUUCGGGUUGUAAAGCACUUUCAGCGAGGAGGAAGGUGGUGAGCUUAAUACGCUCAUCAAUUGACGUUACUCGCAGAAGAAGCACCGGCUAACUCCGUGCCAGCAGCCGCGGUAAUACGGAGGGUGCAAGCGUUAAUCGGAAUUACUGGGCGUAAAGCGCACGCAGGCGGUUUGUUAAGUCAGAUGUGAAAUCCCCGGGCUCAACCUGGGAACUGCAUUUGAAACUGGCAAGCUAGAGUCUCGUAGAGGGGGGUAGAAUUCCAGGUGUAGCGGUGAAAUGCGUAGAGAUCUGGAGGAAUACCGGUGGCGAAGGCGGCCCCCUGGACGAAGACUGACGCUCAGGUGCGAAAAGCGUGGGGCAGCAAACAGGAUUAGAUACCCUGGUAGUCCACGCUGUAAACGAUGUCGAUUUUGGAGGUUGUGCCCUUGAGGCGUGGCUUCCGGAGCUAACGCGUUAAAUCGACCGCCUGGGGAGUACGGCCGCAAGGUUAAAACUUAAAGGAAUUG